Molecule: ribosomal RNA, 274 nt
Filed under: uncultured bacterium
Lineage: Bacteria
Description: partial 16S ribosomal RNA
Rfam family: Bacterial small subunit ribosomal RNA
Source: RNAcentral
AGACGGAGGGGGCUAGCGUUGUUCGGAAUUACUGGGCGUAAAGCGCGCGUAGGCGGUCCGUUUAGUUAGGCGUGAAAGGCCUGGGCUCAACCCGGGAACUGCGUUUAAAACUGGCGGGCUAGAGUCCGGGAGAGGGUGGCGGAAUUCCCAGUGUAGAGGUGAAAUUCGUAGAUAUUAGGAAGAACACCAGUGGCGAAGGCGGCCACCUGGCCCGGUACUGACGCUGAGGUGCGAAAGCGUGGGGAGCAAACAGGAUUAGAAACCCCAGUAGUCC